UAUUCUGCCCAGUGUCUAAAUAGAUAAAUGGCCGCAGUACCCUGACUGUGCUAAGGUAGCAUAAUCAAUUGGCUUUUAAUUGAAGUCUGGAAUGAAAGGAUAAAUGGGAUUAUUCUGUCUCUUAGGUAUUAUUAUAAAUUUAUUUAAAAGGUGAAAAUACCUUUUUUUAAAAAAAAGACGAGAAGACCCUAAGAAUUUUUAAAAUCAUCGAAUUAUUUCGACUUUUUUUUUGUUGGGGCGACAAUUUAGAAAAUUAAACCUAAAUUUUUAAUAAGGCGAAUUUUUUAAGUAAAAUAAAAUUACCUUAGGGAUAACAGCAUAAUUUAUUAAUAGUUUGUGACCUCGAUGUUGGACUAGGAACUUUAUGGCUAGCAGUCAAAUAAGAUUUAUUCUGUUCGAAUAAUUAUAUCCU
This 412-nucleotide ribosomal RNA is filed under the name Bulinus wrighti. RNAcentral describes it as "partial 16S ribosomal RNA". It matches the Rfam family "Bacterial large subunit ribosomal RNA", at positions 1854 to 2596 of the family's 2925-position model. The record is from RNAcentral. Lineage: Eukaryota; Metazoa; Mollusca; Gastropoda; Planorbidae.